Molecule: unclassified non-coding RNA, 370 nt
Filed under: Zea mays
Lineage: Eukaryota; Viridiplantae; Streptophyta; Magnoliopsida; Poales; Poaceae
Description: misc RNA Zm00001eb317620
Source: RNAcentral
CAGUGAUUCACGCAGUGCAGCAUUUGGGCUGGUCUGCUGGAUGCACAGCACACCAUGGCUAUACGAGCAGUAUAUAUUACAAUCAAAUGCUGCACAGAUACGGUUAUAUUUCAUCGAACAGUUGGUGUACCCGAUCUCCUCAACGUUGUACUACAGCUUGCCGGCCCGAUUGACACCGGUGGUCAGCCACAGCUUGCCCCUGCUCUCCGCCACAUCCGCAGCGCCGCGCGACGCCAUAUUCCUAUGCCCAGAUCCGCAGAAUCCAGCGAGGUCACAGUCUCAGGACGAGCCAACACAGACCUGAACUCGACUCUUGAGGAGGCGGACAGCGCAGCAUCGAGGAAGGAGUUGAGGUGCUGCUCCUUGCCAU